AAGUCGUAACAAGGUUUCCGUAGGUGAACCUGCGGAAGGAUCAUUAACAACGUAUCCACGUUUAUCAACCAACUGUGAACUUGUUUUCAAAUCUCCAACUGUUGUCCUACAGUCCUGGAUUAUUCCUCUGCGAAUAGUCCGUAUAGGAAGGUAGGAUGACGACUAUCUAUAAACAAUUUUAACCGUCCUUUUCUAUAGUUGACUUUAUCUGUUGUGAAUUGAAACUCGUUUCGAUUCUCACACGUUUCUUAAUUGAACGAUAAAUUUACAACUCUUGGCGAUGGAUAUCUUGGUUCUC
Molecule: unclassified non-coding RNA, 298 nt
Filed under: fungal sp.
Lineage: Eukaryota; Fungi
Description: partial internal transcribed spacer region
Rfam family: Eukaryotic small subunit ribosomal RNA (bases 1-46)
Source: RNAcentral